AUGAGCAGUCUUUAGCAUUAAUAAUUACAUUAUUUUUAGGAACUCUUAUCAAAUAUGGUCCUGGAUCUCUUAAUUUCCCAUAUGCAGUGAUUUUAGUUAAAAUUCCAAAGGAUUUCUUUUUCCUAUAAUAUCUCCAUUUCUGAGUAUCAUCAUACCAAAACAAUUAGUAUUCUCUUAUUCAAGGCUUUAGAUGUUCGAUUAUUCCCUACCCUUCCAUCCUCACACACACAAUAAUUGCCCAGAUAAAUAAUAAUAAACUGUGGUUUCCAAGUAUCUCACUGGGAUUUUUAUUCUUUAUACCUUGCAGGACUAGUCCAAGAUUUGAAUACCCUGAACUUAUUUGGCAAGAGCGAUGAGUACUCUUAAAAUUACUAUCUGGAAAUUAUAUUAUUUAGAAUCUGCCAAUUACCUAGAUCCCCC
Molecule: long non-coding RNA, 420 nt
Filed under: Homo sapiens (human)
Lineage: Eukaryota; Metazoa; Chordata; Mammalia; Primates; Hominidae
Description: lncAB525.1
Source: RNAcentral